Molecule: long non-coding RNA, 4294 nt
Organism: Vicugna pacos (alpaca)
Lineage: Eukaryota; Metazoa; Chordata; Mammalia; Artiodactyla; Camelidae
Source: RefSeq, a predicted model, not a curated record
CAGGCAGAUGGCAGCUACUGCCUGGGCGACAUUUAGCUGAGUGUAGCUCACUCAUGCUGUUCUCGUGUCAACUCAGCUCUGCCCCAAUUUCAAGGUCAGUCCUGGCUGGGUGGCUUCAGGUCUCCUCUUCCUGUUUGGCCAAGACACACAUGCUGGUUGUCACAUCUCUGCUCCCAAAAUGACUCUUCUGGUCCAGCCUCUCAUCAUUUCCCCUGUUCUUAAAAUGAUGCUCUUGCUUGGCCCAAACCCAACUUCCCUCUGGGCUUUAAUUCCUAAGUCUGAGAUUUUGUCUCAGACCCCUAUGGAAUUCCUUUUCUUUUGGGUAAACUGAUAAGCAUUCCAAGUCCAUUCUGGGAGCUGGGAUGUCGGUCUUAGUUCCAUUUCUGAGUUUGAUUUCUGCUCACCUAUGUUCUGUCUGCCUUGCUCUUGUCACCCCCUGCCUUCAGUGUGUUACCCCGAAACAGACUCCCCACAGGUGGGCUACCAGGCGGGCCACGCUACUGCCUGCCGGCCCUGUACUCGCUUGUAAGAUAUCCCUACGUUCACGGGUUUGGACUGGGUUUUGACUUUUCCCCUUGACUGCAGACGUAAUUGCCUCUGGGAAUAUCUGUCCAUCCAUCAUUCGUCUACCCAUCCAACUACUCAUCCAUCCAUCCAUCCUUUCAUUCAGUUUUGAUUCUUACAUAUUAACAGCUUACCUUAUGCCAGACCGUGUACCUAGUUCCUAAGAUAGACAUUCUCCUUGCUCUUGCACAAGAGACAUAACUAAAUAAACAGUAUCAAUAAAAUGCCAUAAGUUGCUCUCCACACACCUUCCUGGGUUUCUGGGGCCAAUGCCAAGUACCCAGAUGCUCUUUAUUGCACUGUGAGCACACAGCUAUACCCUGCUGAGACCAAACAGGCUAAUAUUUUCAGUUCCCUAAUUGAGAACUUGAGGGGGAAAUACUACUUCAAGUCAGGAGAGCAGGCAUUAAUAUUAUAUGCAUAUUUAUAUAAGAAAUCCUGUAAAUCUGCAUAAAGUUUUAGAAUAUGCAAAUUAUUUUAUUUAUAGAUCUCAUUUGAUCUUUAGAGCAUAGCUGUGAGGUCCAGUCAGACCAGGCAUUAUUUUCAUCCUCAUUUUAUAGAAAAGAAACCAAGGUUCCUAGAAGUUAAAAUAGUUUUGGUAAAAUUUAGAGCGGAAGCUGAAGAUAAACCUUAGUACCGCUCUUAUGAAAUUCUAUCCACUUUGCUAGUAAUUCAAUAGUAACUUGCACAGUUUCUAACAUCUCAGCACUGGCUGUUCCAGGUACUGCUGUCUACAUUUUUGAGCAGGCUGAUGUUCACGGGACAGCCUUGUACGCCCUCUGUUCUAGAAAAGUGACGUAAGAUAAUUUAUAGAGCUCUAACGUGUUGCUUUACUUCCAUUACAUUUUUAUUGCUUUUAUCUGAGAACCCGAGUGGGGAGAGGGAGAGAUGAAAUCACUUGUCUCUUACCUUUGAAAGAUGUGAAAUCAUCACCACACCCUCAAAGAAACGGCAGGUAGCUCGUGAGACCUUUUCCCAAAGGACACGGGGAGACUCUUGACUCAUGGCUGAAGUCGCACUGUGACAUCUUCCUCUCCAUCACCCCUUUUUGGUGAAAUCUCAUUCUUUUAUGAUAUGUUGUCAUGUUUAACUAGAGUCAUCAGGAUGUACUGUGACAUGUUGUUUGUUUCUUCUUUACAUGUUCCCCCCUUCAUAUACCAAUAGUCCUUUCUCCAAACAGCCUAUGCUCUUGAAAAUUCAGUUAAAAUUAAGGUCAGCCUCCUUCCAUCCACCAAAGUCAGUAAGUUUUUAAGAUGCCAAGCUACUGGGCAAAAUUCGGAGACGUCCUACACCACCAUGUUUUGGCUCAUUCAUUUUUUUUGUUUAUUUCUGGAGUGAUGGUAAAAAGCCUGGCAUUUAACAUCAUAUAAUUAAAAUAUGGAAUUUUAAGUUUUGAGGUGAAAUCUGUAUACUUAGAUAAACCUUCAAGUGACUUUAUAAUGUCAUGAUUACUUUGAAGCAAGAAUAUUAUAGAAAUUUUAAAAGUCCUUUUAUAACUCUUUAAUUCUCUUAAGCACAGAGCAACCUGACAACCACUGGGGUGAAAUCAAAGGAAGUGUGACUGUCACCCUGUUAAUUCUAUGCCAUUUGCCCUCAGGUGAUUUUGUCACUUGGUUUUGUAGAAUGGAGAACGUUCUCUUGAUGGUUCUCACUUGCUUUCUGACCCUUUAGGUAUAAAUACCUGUUCUCUGAAGACUUUCUGAAUGGUACUAUUAUGAAAUUGUCAUCAUAGGAGUCCCAUGACUGAUACCAAACUGACAGAGAGGGGAAAAAAUAAAAAUCUCUCACGAUGUGGGCUAUUUUAAAAUUAACUUCUUUCUCAAGGCAUUUAAUCAAAAGCCUUAUCAGGAUGGCAAAGUAAGCCACUGGUCUGUCUUUGAAGAGUGUGUAUUUCUUCCACAUUGAAAGGAAUCCCUAUUCUGUAUGGAUUAGAUCAGUUCAUAGAACAGCUCCAUGUAAAUAACUAUGGAAAAUCAGUAAGUGUAAGUCAUACUAUCCAAUAGUAUACACAGACUACAGGGAUGUACCAUUCCUUUAGGAAGAGAUGCAAACACUGAUUUAAGCAUUAGCAGGAAUUUAACAAAACGAAAAUUCCCUGUAACUUUACUUUUUGUUUCCUCAACUGUUGGACUGAAAGUAUCAGAAAACCCAAACACACACAAAAUGAAAAUGCUUGAUGAUGACAAUCUGAACUAAGGUUGUUCAUGUUUGGUAGCAUUGCAAAUUUAGCUCAGUUUUCGGUCCAUAUCACAUCCUUCAUAAUAGCUCUUCUUUAGUAACAUUUUAUUCAAAGAAAAUGAACAUUAUUUUCAUUAUUCAAGAAGGAACUGGAUCCGCCGGCCGGUCUUUGAUCUGUACUGCCAUCUGCUGUGUGUUGGUAAAACAGCAGCAAACAUGUCAAGUGUCUAAAACCAGAAAGCUCAGAUGGACCUAAGAAACCAUCCAAACCAAUGUCUGUACGUACCUGUGAGAAAACAGAGUCAUGAAAAGCUAAGUGACUUGCACGUCUGUUGUAAGUAGCAGAGCUGAAUGAGGACGCGGUGCUGUUGCGUGGCAAAAACAGUUCUGGAGUCAGACAGACUUGGUUUCAGCAUUUCAGCUGCCUGGCCUUAGGCAAGUUACUCAGACUCUGAGUCUUAAUGUUGGCUGUCCUUUUGAGAUGAAUAAUAUUUACAUGAGAAUUAUAAUAUUUAUGUGAGAAUUAAAUGUGAUAGCAAUCUAUCCGUUCAUCUCUGUGGUACCUGACACAGACGCGCACGACUGCACUUAAGACCCAGUCAUUAUUAUCGUGCCUGCAGGUAAGUUCUUCCACAACAAAGGAUUUUCUCUUUCAGUUCCCAGUGAGAUCAAGUGUCUGAAGCACUUCGUUCCUAAGUACUUAAUUUUAAAUAUUUCUUGACUAAAUGAACAGAGGUCACUUACGUCUCAUUACAAAUUACACUGAAAAUCAUCUUUGGAGGAUGGAUGAGUCUCUGUUGGGAAGUCCAGUUCAAUGUCAGACUUAGAACGUCCACAGAACUAAGUUUAUGACGACUCCCAUCUCUGAAAGGACGGGAUCAGUCCUGGAAAGUUCUAUGAUUCAGGUACAAAGAAGUUACAUAAAGUUACUUACAGAAGUAAAUAUUUUUACAUGGCAAUUUUUCGAAAGUAUGAUGGAUAUGAAACAGUUCAUGUUCUGAAAUCUAAACUAAGAGAAAGAGCCGUCAGAAAAACCAGCUAAACUCUGAGUAACAAUCAGCAACUAACACUCUCGUGUUUAAAAUCCUUGUCAACGGCAAGAAAGCGGUGAGCAAGACGACACUGGGACGGAGGUGAAUGAAUGCAACAGAGUCGUUUAAUCUUAAACGCAGUAUUUGUCACUUCCUGAUGCUGCUGCUUUAGGGGUAAUAUACACAGUAUUAUUUUGUAACCCAUCCUGUGGGCUCCUUAUGGAUUCUAAAUGAAAUCUGAUCAAGUAUCUAAGAGCAGAACACACAGAGGAGUGUGUAUUAAAUGGAGAGUAAGUGGACAGAUAAGAAUAAUAAGUGAUUAAGGUUUAAAAAUUCAGAAUUUAUGCCCUUCAGAGUAAACUGGUGAAGUGUGUCAGGAGUGGGUAGGAAACGGCUUAUUUAUGGGAACUCUGUCACAUUUGUCUACCAUCUCUUUUUACUCCAAACCCGUAUUUUGGUGCUCAGUACAUUUUAGGAAACAAUAUUUUUUAACCAUCUCAUAAAAAUCACCAAAAAAAAAA